ACUCUGUGGGUGGGGGAGGAGCAUGGUUCCGGUGGCUUCAGAAAUGAGCAACAAGCUAUCGGAGCCACUGAUUCCUCAAAGACCAAGAGCUGGAGAAAAAUAAUUUAUUUUCAUUUAUUCCAUAUCGUUCUAUCCAUCCACUCUUCUGUUUGACCAACAUUUUGAAUUGCCUACUAUGUGUUUACCAGCAAACAAGGAAGAACCUGGCUUUUGUAAUCUAUAAUCGUACCAAGGCUGAAACCUUACUUUUAAACAAAUACCAGAAUUUUAAAAUUAUAACUGAGGCACAGACUUCUGCCAGGCCUGCAGACAGAGCUCAGGAUAAAGAGCCAAGGGUGUGGCCUGUCUCGAGGCCCAUAGAUGUGCGCUCUGCAGGUGGAAUGGCCGUCCGGUGCUUACUUUGACUGUCCUCGGGUCCCGAGUCUUCUGGUGGUUAACUGAGGAAACUGCUGCCUUAUGAUCUAGCAGAGGAUGAUAAUUGCUGUUGCCCAGGACAACCACACCAGUUCACAAGAAAUCCGUGAAGAGAGAGCAUCUCUCAAGGUGAAAACAUAACCAUGAGGCCCCUUUCCUUGGGGUUUACGGAGAUGAUGUUUGUGGAGAGGCAUGACAGGUCAGGGGUUACGUGCAAGAACUCUGGAACUCGACUACCUGAAUUGAAUGCAAGCUCAGGCAUUGGUUAGGCUGGAUGCCCUUGGGCAAGUUAUUUAGUAUCCACAUGACUCAGUUUCCCCAUUUGUAAAAUAGGAAUGAUAAUAACCUCUAGAGUUAUUGUGAAAUUUUAAAAAGUGAAUGUAUGUAAAUAGCUGGCAGUAGUGCCUGGCAGUUAGUAAGUACUUAAUAAAUGUUACCCAUUAUUACCAAAAAAAAAAAAAAAA
RNAcentral lists this long non-coding RNA (878 nucleotides) under Homo sapiens (human). Its description in RNAcentral is "uncharacterized LOC100505978 (LOC100505978)". The record is from RNAcentral. Lineage: Eukaryota; Metazoa; Chordata; Mammalia; Primates; Hominidae.